This 554-nucleotide ribosomal RNA is filed under the name Stenotrophomonas maltophilia. RNAcentral's name for it is "bacterial SSU rRNA". It matches the Rfam family "Bacterial small subunit ribosomal RNA", at positions 161 to 710 of the family's 1533-position model. Lineage: Bacteria; Pseudomonadati; Pseudomonadota; Gammaproteobacteria; Lysobacterales; Lysobacteraceae. The record is from RNAcentral.
CGCUAAUACCGCAUACGACCUACGGGUGAAAGCAGGGGAUCUUCGGACCUUGCGCGAUUGAAUGAGCCGAUGUCGGAUUAGCUAGUUGGCGGGGUAAAGGCCCACCAAGGCGACGAUCCGUAGCUGGUCUGAGAGGAUGAUCAGCCACACUGGAACUGAGACACGGUCCAGACUCCUACGGGAGGCAGCAGUGGGGAAUAUUGGACAAUGGGCGCAAGCCUGAUCCAGCCAUACCGCGUGGGUGAAGAAGGCCUUCGGGUUGUAAAGCCCUUUUGUUGGGAAAGAAAUCCAUCCGGCUAAUACCUGGUUGGGAUGACGGUACCCAAAGAAUAAGCACCGGCUAACUUCGUGCCUUCAGCCGCGGUAAUACAAAGGGUGCAAGCGUUACUCGGAAUUACUGGGCGUAAAGCGUGCGUAGGUGGUUGUUUAAGUCUGUUGUGAAAGCCCUGGGCUCAACCUGGGAACUGCAGUGGAAACUGGACAACUAGAGUGUGGUAGAGGGUAGCGGAAUUCCCGGUGUAGCAGUGAAAUGCGUAGAGAUCGGGAGGAACAUC